This 274-nucleotide ribosomal RNA is filed under the name uncultured bacterium. Its description in RNAcentral is "partial 16S ribosomal RNA". It matches the Rfam family "Bacterial small subunit ribosomal RNA", at positions 523 to 796 of the family's 1533-position model. The record is from RNAcentral.
AUACGGAGGGUGCAAGCGUUACUCGGAAUUACUGGGCGUAAAGCGCGCGUAGGCGGCUUAUUAAGUCAGAUGUGAAAUCCCCGGGCUCAACCUGGGAACUGCAUCUGAUACUGGUAAGCUAGAGUUUUGGAGAGGGAAGUAGAAUUUCAGGUGUAGCGGUGAAAUGCAUAGAGAUCUGAAGGAAUACCAGUGGCGAAGGCGACUUCCUGGCCAAAAACUGACGCUGAGGUGCGAAAGCGUGGGUAGCAAACGGGAUUAGAAACCCGAGUAGUCC